This is a long non-coding RNA of Anarrhichthys ocellatus (wolf-eel), 262 nucleotides long. RefSeq lists it as uncharacterized. The transcript is spliced from 3 exons. NCBI's taxonomy places the organism in Eukaryota, Metazoa, Chordata, Actinopteri, Perciformes, Anarhichadidae. The record is from RefSeq and is a predicted model, not a curated record.
CCACAGAUAUUCAGCCUCCAGAUCAAACUCAAUUCAAACUCAGAUCAAACUCAGGAAACUGUGUUGGACCCUCGAGGGGGGGCGGACGUGGUCGGUGCAGUGACACGCUGUGUGGAGGGGACAUCAUGGCUGGGAGAGGAGACGGCCGGGCAACGGACGCACGUUUGCCAGAGCACUGGAGGGACGUGCGAGACUGGAGCAUAGAGAAGAGACAAAACCACAGAAUGUGGGUUGCAGAUGUGGAAGGUGUCCUCAGAUCCAU